This 478-nucleotide ribosomal RNA is filed under the name uncultured bacterium. RNAcentral's name for it is "partial 16S ribosomal RNA". It matches the Rfam family "Bacterial small subunit ribosomal RNA", at positions 28 to 523 of the family's 1533-position model. The record is from RNAcentral.
GACGAACGCUGGCGGCGUGCUUAACACAUGCAAGUCGAGCGAUGAAGUUCCUUCAGGAAUGGAUUAGCGGCGGACGGGUGAGUAACACGUGGGUAACCUGCCUCAUAGAGGGGAAUAGCCUUCCGAAAGGAAGAUUAAUACCGCAUAAGAUUGCAGUAUCGCAUGAUAUAGCAAUUAAAGGAGUAAUCCGCUAUGAGAUGGACCCGCGUCGCAUUAGCUAGUUGGUGUGGUAACGGCUCACCAAGGCGACGAUGCGUAGCCGACCUGAGAGGGUGAUCGGCCACAUUGGGACUGAGACACGGCCCAGACUCCUACGGGAGGCAGCAGAGGGGAAUAUUGCACAAUGGGGGAAACCCUGAUGCAGCAACGCCGCGUGAGUGAUGACGGUCUUCGGAUUGUAAAACUCUGUCUUCAGGGACGAUAAUGACGGUACCUGAGGAGGAAGCCACGGCUAACUACGUGCCAGCCGCCGCGGUAA